GACGUAGGGUGCGAGCGUUGUCCGGAUUUAUUGGGCGUAAAGAGCUCGUAGGCGGCUCGUCGCGUCGACCGUGAAAACCCGCAGCUUAACUGCGGGCUUGCGGUUGAUACGGGCGGGCUAGAGUUCGGUAGGGGAGACUGGAAUUCCUGGUGUAGCGGUGAAAUGCGCAGAUAUCAGGAGGAACACCGGUGGCGAAGGCGGGUCUCUGGGCAUUAACUGACGCUGAGGAGCGAAAGCAUGGGGAGCGAACAGG
RNAcentral lists this ribosomal RNA (253 nucleotides) under uncultured bacterium. RNAcentral describes it as "partial 16S ribosomal RNA". It matches the Rfam family "Bacterial small subunit ribosomal RNA", at positions 524 to 776 of the family's 1533-position model. The record is from RNAcentral.